This 497-nucleotide ribosomal RNA is filed under the name uncultured bacterium. RNAcentral's name for it is "partial 16S ribosomal RNA". It matches the Rfam family "Bacterial small subunit ribosomal RNA", at positions 28 to 507 of the family's 1533-position model. The record is from RNAcentral.
GACGAACGCUGGCGGCGUGCCUAAUACAUGCAAGUUGAGCGAUGAAGAUUGGUGCUUGCACCAAUUUGAAGAGCAGCGGACGGGUGAGUAACGCGUGGGGAAUCUGCCUUUGAGCGGGGGACAACAUUUGGAAACGAAUGCUAAUACCGCAUAAUAACUUUAAACAUAAGUUUUAAGUUUGAAAGAUGCAAUUGCAUCACUCAAAGAUGAUCCCGCGUUGUAUUAGCUAGUUGGUGAGGUAAAGGCUCACCAAGGCGAUGAUACAUAGCCGACCUGAGAGGGUGGUCGGCCACAUUGGGACUGAGACACGGCCCAAACUCCUACGGGAGGCAGCAGUAGGGAAUCUUCGGCAAUGGACGAAAGUCUGACCGAGCAACGCCGCGUGAGUGAAGAAGGUUUUCGGAUCGUAAAACUCUGUUGGUAGAGAAGAACGUUGGUGAGAGUGGAAAGCUCAUCAAGUGACGGUAACUACCCAGAAAGGGACGGCUAACUACGUG